GAUGAACGCUGGCGGCGUGCCUAAUACAUGCAAGUCGAGCGAACGGACGAGAAGCUUGCUUCUCUGAUGUUAGCGGCGGACGGGUGAGUAACACGUGGAUAACCUACCUAUAAGACUGGGAUAACUUCGGGAAACCGGGGCUAAUACCGGAUAAUAUUUUGAACCGCAUGGUUCAAAAGUGAAAGACGGUCUUGCUGUCACUUAUAGAUGGAUCCGCGCUGCAUUAGCUAGUUGGUAAGGUAACGGCUUACCAAGGCAACGAUGCAUAGCCGACCUGAGAGGGUGAUCGGCCACACUGGAACUGAGACACGGUCCAGACUCCUACGGUAGGCAGCAGUAGGGAAUCUUCCGCAAUGGGCGAAAGCCUGACGGAGCAACGCCGCGUGAGUGAUGAAGGUCUUCGGAUCGUAAAACUCUGUUAUUAGGGAAGAACAUAUGUGUAAGUAACUGUGCACAUCUUGACGGUACCUAAUCAGAAAGCCACGGCUAACUACGUG
RNAcentral lists this ribosomal RNA (497 nucleotides) under uncultured bacterium. RNAcentral describes it as "partial 16S ribosomal RNA". It matches the Rfam family "Bacterial small subunit ribosomal RNA", at positions 28 to 507 of the family's 1533-position model. The record is from RNAcentral.